ACAACUUUUAGCAACGGAUGUCUUGGCUCUCCCAUCGAUGAAGAACGCAGCGAAAUGCGAUAAGUAAUGUGAAUUGCAGAAUUCAGUGAAUCAUCGAAUCUUUGAACGCACCUUGCGCCCUCUGGUAUUCCGGAGGGCAUGCCUGUUUGAGUGUCAUUAA
This 160-nucleotide ribosomal RNA is filed under the name Gymnopus aquosus. RNAcentral's name for it is "5.8S ribosomal RNA". It matches the Rfam family "5.8S ribosomal RNA". Rfam says of the family: 5.8S ribosomal RNA (5.8S rRNA) is a component of the large subunit of the eukaryotic ribosome. It is transcribed by RNA polymerase I as part of the 45S precursor that also contains 18S and 28S rRNA. Functionally, it is thought that 5.8S rRNA may be involved in ribosome translocation. The record is from RNAcentral. Lineage: Eukaryota; Fungi; Basidiomycota; Agaricomycetes; Agaricales; Omphalotaceae.